RNAcentral lists this ribosomal RNA (253 nucleotides) under uncultured bacterium. Its description in RNAcentral is "partial 16S ribosomal RNA". It matches the Rfam family "Bacterial small subunit ribosomal RNA", at positions 524 to 776 of the family's 1533-position model. The record is from RNAcentral.
UACGGGGGGGGCAAGCGUUGUUCGGAAUUAUUGGGCGUAAAGCGCGCGUAGGCGGUUACUUAAGUCGGAUGUGAAAGCCCUCGGCUUAACUGAGGAAGUGCACCCGAAACUGAGUAGCUAGAGUACGAAAGAGGGUCGCGGAAUUCCCGGUGUAGAGGUGAAAUUCGUAGAUAUCGGGAGGAACACCGGUGGCGAAGGCGGCGACCUGGGUCGAGACUGACGCUGAGGCGCGAAAGCGUGGGGAGCAAACAGG